RNAcentral lists this transfer RNA (72 nucleotides) under Hamadaea sp. Its description in RNAcentral is "tRNA-Lys". It matches the Rfam family "tRNA". Rfam says of the family: Transfer RNA (tRNA) molecules are approximately 80 nucleotides in length. Their secondary structure includes four short double-helical elements and three loops (D, anti-codon, and T loops). Further hydrogen bonds mediate the characteristic L-shaped molecular structure. tRNAs have two regions of fundamental functional importance: the anti-codon, which is responsible for specific mRNA codon recognition, and the 3' end, to which the tRNAs corresponding amino acid is attached (by aminoacyl-tRNA synthetases). tRNAs cope with the degeneracy of the genetic code in two manners: having more than one tRNA (with a specific anti-codon) for a particular amino acid; and 'wobble' base-pairing, i.e. permitting non-standard base-pairing at the 3rd anti-codon position. Lineage: Bacteria; Bacillati; Actinomycetota; Actinomycetes; Micromonosporales; Micromonosporaceae. The record is from RNAcentral.
CACGUGAUAGCGCAGUAGUAGCGCAUCGGACUCUUAAUCCGACGGACGCCGGUGCGAAUCCGGCUCACGUAU